RNAcentral lists this unclassified non-coding RNA (319 nucleotides) under rhizosphere metagenome. RNAcentral describes it as "partial ribosomal RNA internal transcribed spacer region". The record is from RNAcentral.
GUAGGUGGUAAGUGACAUGAUCCCCCGGCCUAUUUUUUUUUUCGAAUCAUUCUUACUAACUUUCGUUCCAGAACCUGCGGAAGGAUCAUUAAAGAGAGCUUGGGGUGCCCUUGGGCCCCUGAACCUCCCAACCCUAUGUGAACGUACCUUUUAGUUGCUUUGGCGGGGCGCGGCCAGUAAUAGCCCCGCUGGUCCCUACCCUGGGGCUGGUGAGCCCCCGCCAGAGGACCACAAAACUCUUGCAUUUAUAACGGUGAAGUCUGAACUUUUACUAUUUGAAAUAGCGAAAAAACUUUCAACAACGGAUCUCUUGGUUCUG